Molecule: long non-coding RNA, 800 nt
Filed under: Heterocephalus glaber (naked mole-rat)
Lineage: Eukaryota; Metazoa; Chordata; Mammalia; Rodentia; Bathyergidae
Description: lncRNA (ENSHGLG00100038167.1)
Source: RNAcentral
GGGGAGGCCAAGGAAGUUUGGGCCCUGGGCUGUUGUGGCUCUUCCACUGUGAGGUGUGUACGUUUGUGUCACUUACCGCAUGGGGGCCCUUCCGGGAUCCUGGUUGGUGGGUGGGGAGCAGACAGGCCUGGCACCUACCCCACCCAGCCGGAACUGCCGGAUGGGAACCUCUCCUCGCCGACCCACCAGUCUCCAAACCCACAACACACACAACGCGACGACCGCGUGCGCCCACGCCACCCUGAAUUCUCACACACACCUCGGACGCCGAUACCCACAGGACCAGCGGGGCUCGGCGGGAGCAGCCUGGCUCCCUCUGCCCCCCGCCCCUCCUGACCUGCGGCGCGCAGCCCUCCGAAGGAAGAGGGGAGUCGAAAAACAUCAGACCCCAGGGCACCGUUUCCGGGAGCAGGCAGGGAGGCGUCCAAGGCCACAUCCCCUCCGUCCUCACCUCCCGAAGACCUGAGAGACUCUGUGGUGAGUCUACAGCUCGUCCUAGCCCUCAAGAAGGCGGAUUUCCCUCCUGCCUCCAUAUUCCUCCCGUGUCCAGUGCAUAGUCCAAGGUGCCUCUCAAUCAGUGCGCUUGACUCAGCAUUCCCAAGUGCUGGGUAGGGACAGCGGGACUCACCCCACUUCACUCAAUGGAUGCCAAGGCCUCGGCCGCCUCACCUCUGCAAAGAAGGCCUUGAGCUGGUCCAGGUGCUGGAAGAGGCUGGGGGAGUUAGUGUCCAGACGGGCCAGGCGCUGGGCGGCUUCCUCUGCCAACAGCCGGGGUGGGUGUGGCUCCUGCAGACACGUGG